AGCAGCCGCAGUAAUUCCAGCUCCAAUAGCGUAUAUUAAAGUUGUUGCAGUUAAAAAGCUCGUAGUUGAAUUUCGGGAUCAAUAUGCUGGUCGUGCCUUUGGUACGUACUGGCAUUAUUGGUUUCUCCUUUCUGAUGAAUCACGAUGUCAUUAAUUUGGUGUCAUGGGGAAUCAGGACUGUUACUUUGAAAAAAUUAGAGUGUUUAAAGCGGGCUUACGCUUGAAUACAUUAGCAUGGAAUAAUGAAAUAGGACGUUUAAUUCUAUUUUGUUGGUUUCUAGGAUUGACGUAAUGAUUAAUAGGGAUAGGUUGGGGGCAUUAGUAUUCAAUUGUCAGAGGUGAAAUUCUUGGAUUUAUUGAAGACUAACUACUGCGAAAGCAUUUGCCAAGGAUGUUUUCAUUAAUCA
RNAcentral lists this ribosomal RNA (407 nucleotides) under uncultured Glomus. RNAcentral's name for it is "SSU rRNA". It matches the Rfam family "Eukaryotic small subunit ribosomal RNA", at positions 569 to 979 of the family's 1831-position model. The record is from RNAcentral. Lineage: Eukaryota; Fungi; Glomeromycota; Glomeromycetes; Glomerales; Glomeraceae.